GGAGACGUGGCCGAGUGGUCGAAGGCGCUCCCCUGCUAAGGGAGUAGGCGGGAAACCGUCUCGUGGGUUCGAAUCCCAUCGUCUCCG
Dinoroseobacter shibae is the source of this 87-nucleotide transfer RNA. It matches the Rfam family "tRNA". Rfam says of the family: Transfer RNA (tRNA) molecules are approximately 80 nucleotides in length. Their secondary structure includes four short double-helical elements and three loops (D, anti-codon, and T loops). The record is from Rfam. Lineage: Bacteria; Pseudomonadati; Pseudomonadota; Alphaproteobacteria; Rhodobacterales; Roseobacteraceae.